AUUGAACGCUGGCGGCAUGCUUUACACAUGCCAGUCGAACGGCAGCGCGGGCUUCGGCCUGGCGGCGAGUGGCGAACGGGUGAGUAAUACAUCGGAACGUGCCCAGUAGUGGGGGAUAGCUCGGCGAAAGCCGGAUUAAUACCGCAUACGACCUGAGGGUGAAAGCGGGGGAUCUUCGGACCUCGCGCUAUUGGAGCGGCCGAUGGCAGAUUAGCUAGUUGGUGGGGUAAAGGCCUACCAAGGCGACGAUCUGUAGCUGGUCUGAGAGGACGACCAGCCACCCUGGGACUGAGACACGGCCCAGACUCCUACGGGAGGCAGCAGUGGGGAAUUUUGGACAAUGGGCGAAAGCCUGAUCCAGCAAUGCCGCGUGUGUGAUGAAGGCCUUCGGGUUGUAAAGCACUUUUGGCGGGAACGAAAAGGACUGUGCCAAUACCACGGUUCGAUGACGGUACCCGCAGAAUAAGCACCGGCUAACUACGUGC
RNAcentral lists this ribosomal RNA (485 nucleotides) under uncultured bacterium. RNAcentral's name for it is "partial 16S ribosomal RNA". It matches the Rfam family "Bacterial small subunit ribosomal RNA", at positions 29 to 508 of the family's 1533-position model. The record is from RNAcentral.